This 288-nucleotide long non-coding RNA is filed under the name Linum usitatissimum (flax). Its description in RNAcentral is "long non-coding RNA (LUSI_LNC008021)". Lineage: Eukaryota; Viridiplantae; Streptophyta; Magnoliopsida; Malpighiales; Linaceae. The record is from RNAcentral.
UGGUCACCUUGAAGCUGGAUCACCUGGCCAUUAGUAAACUAAACUCAGAUCGAAAGAACCAUCAGCGACUGGAAGGAAAAGGGUAUAAUUUAUAACUAGUUACACACCUGGCCUAACUCAGGGUCCUGGACGACAGUACCAUUACAGCAGAACUCCUUCUUCAGGUCCUUUAGUAUCUUGUUAUAGCUGAAGUCCUUCUUCAACCCUUGCACAGUCGUCAAGCUCUUCCUUCCAUUUCUCUGCUGGAUCCGGAUGUGGACGUACUCUUUUGUACCAGCGCCCGAGUCC